Molecule: ribosomal RNA, 253 nt
Filed under: uncultured bacterium
Lineage: Bacteria
Description: partial 16S ribosomal RNA
Rfam family: Bacterial small subunit ribosomal RNA
Source: RNAcentral
UACGUAGGUGGCAAGCGUUGUCCGGAUUUACUGGGCGUAAAGGGCGUGCAGGCGGUCUGUUAAGUCUAGGGUGAAAGCUCCCGGCUCAACCGAGGAACGUCGAUCGAUACUGCUGUUCUUGAGGAUUGCAGAGGAGACUGGAAUUCCCGGUGUAGCGGUGAAAUGUGUAGAGAUCGGGAGGAGCACCGGUGGCGAAGGCGGGUCUCUGGGCAAUUCCUGACGCUGAGGCGCGAAAGCGUGGGGAGCAAACGGG